GUAGCAGUGAAUUGCGUAGAGAUAUGUCGAACACCAGUGGGCAAGAGAGUGUGUGGUCUGCAAGAGACACUGUGACGCGAUAGCGUGCUGAGCAAACUGGAUAAGAUACACUGGUAGUCCAGGAAGUAAACGAUGAUUGUUAAGUGUAAGAUGGUCUACUCCCCAUAGUGCUGAAGUUGAUGCAUUAAGCACUUUGCCUUGAGAGUAAGGAAGCAAGGCUGAAACUCAAAGGAAUCGAUGAGGGCCAAUACGAGCGGUGGAGCAUGUGGUUUAAUUGGAAGCAACGCGUAGAACCUCACCAGGUCUUGACAUCCUCUGACAACCCUAGAGAUAGGGCUUAUCCUUAGGGAUUAUAGUGACAGGUGGUGCAUGGUUGUCGUCAGCUCGUGUCGUGAGAUGUUGGGUUAAGUCCCGCAACGAGCGCAACCCUUGAUCUUAGUUGCCAGCAUUAAGUUGGGCACUCUAAGGUGACUGCCGGUGACAAACCGGAGGAAGGUGGGGAUGACGUCAAAUCAUCAUGCCCCUUAUGACCUGGGCUACACACGUGCUACAAUGGACGGUACAAAGAGUCGCAAGACCGCGAGGUGGAGCUAAUCUCAUAAAACCGUUCUCAGUUCGGAUUGUAGGCUGCAACUCGCCUACAUGAAGCUGGAAUCGCUAGUAAUCGCGGAUCAGCAUGCCGCGGUGAAUACGUUCCCGGGCCUUGUACACACCGCCCGUCACACCACGAGAGUUUGUAACACCCGAAGUCGGUGGGGUAACCUUUUGGAGCCAGCCGCCUAAGGUGGGACAGAUGAUUGGGGUGAAGUCGUAACAAGGUAGCCGUAUCGGAAGGUGCGGCUGGAUCACCUCCUU
This 855-nucleotide ribosomal RNA is filed under the name uncultured bacterium. RNAcentral describes it as "bacterial SSU rRNA". It matches the Rfam family "Bacterial small subunit ribosomal RNA", at positions 675 to 1532 of the family's 1533-position model. The record is from RNAcentral.